CCUACGGGGGGCUGCAGUGGGGAAUAUUGGGCAAUGGGCGCAAGCCUGACCCAGCAACGCCGCGUGAAGGAAGAAGGCUUUCGGGUUGUAAACUUCUUUUAAGGGGGAAGAGCAGAAGACGGUACCCCUUGAAUAAGCCACGGCUAACUACGUGCCAGCAGCCGCGGUAAUACGUAGGUGGCAAGCGUUGUCCGGAUUUACUGGGUGUAAAGGGCGUGCAGCCGGAGAUACAAGUCAGAUGUGAAAUCCACGGGCUCAAACCGUGAACUGCAUUUGAAACUGUUUCCCUUGAGUGUCGGAGAGGUAAUCGGAAUUCCUUGUGUAGCGGUGAAAUGCGUAGAUAUAAGGAAGAACACCAGAGGCGAAGGCGGAUUACUGGACGAUAACUGACGGUGAGGCGCGAAAGCGUGGGGAGCAAACAGGAUUAGAUACCCUUGUAGUC
RNAcentral lists this ribosomal RNA (442 nucleotides) under uncultured bacterium. Its description in RNAcentral is "partial 16S ribosomal RNA". It matches the Rfam family "Bacterial small subunit ribosomal RNA", at positions 338 to 795 of the family's 1533-position model. The record is from RNAcentral.